GAUGAACGCUGGCGGCGUGCCUAAUACAUGCAAGUCGAGCGAACAGACGAGGAGCUUGCUCCUCUGACGUGAGCGGCGGACGGGUGAGUAACACGUGGAUAACCUACCUAUAAGACUGGGAUAACUUCGGGAAACCGGAGCUAAUACCGGAUAAUAUAUUGAACCGCAGGGUUCAAUAGUGAAAGACGGUUUUGCUGUCACUUAUAGAUGGAUCCGCGCCGCAUUAGCUAGAUGGUAAGGUAACGGCUUACCAAGGCAACGAGGCGUAGCCGACCUGAGAGGGGGAUCGGCGACACUGGAACUGAGACACCGUCCAGACUCCUACGGGAGGCAGCAGUCUGCAAUCUUCCGCAGUGGGCGAAAGCCUGACGGAGCAACGCCGCGUCAGUGAUGACGGUCUUCGGAUCGUAAAGCUCUGUUAUUAGUGAAGAACAAAUGUGUAAGUAACUGUGCCCGUAUUGACGGUACCUAAUCAGAAAGCCCCGGCUAACUACGUG
Molecule: ribosomal RNA, 497 nt
Filed under: uncultured bacterium
Lineage: Bacteria
Description: partial 16S ribosomal RNA
Rfam family: Bacterial small subunit ribosomal RNA
Source: RNAcentral